GGAUCAAUAGCUCAGUGGUAGAGCGUGGGAUUGCAGAUCCUAAGGUCGGGUGUUCGACCCACUCUUGGUCCU
Fomitiporia mediterranea MF3/22 is the source of this 72-nucleotide transfer RNA. It matches the Rfam family "tRNA". From Rfam's summary of the family: Transfer RNA (tRNA) molecules are approximately 80 nucleotides in length. Their secondary structure includes four short double-helical elements and three loops (D, anti-codon, and T loops). NCBI's taxonomy places the organism in Eukaryota, Fungi, Basidiomycota, Agaricomycetes, Hymenochaetales, Hymenochaetaceae. The record is from Rfam.